Molecule: ribosomal RNA, 387 nt
Filed under: uncultured bacterium
Lineage: Bacteria
Description: bacterial SSU rRNA
Rfam family: Bacterial small subunit ribosomal RNA
Source: RNAcentral
AUUGAACGCUGGCGGCAUGCCUUACACAUGCAAGUCGAACGGCAGCACGGGAGCAAUCCUGGUGGCGAGUGGCGAACGGGUGAGUAAUACAUCGGAACGUGCCCAGUAGUGGGGGAUAACCCGGCGAAAGCCGGACUAAUACCGCGUACGACCUACGGGUGAAAGCAGGGGAUCGCAAGACCUUGCGCUAUUGGAGCGGCCGAUGUCAGAUUAGCUAGUUGGNGGGGUAAAAGCCCACCAAGGCGACGAUCUGUAGCUGGUCUGAGAGGACGACCAGCCACACUGGGACUGAGACACGGCCCAGACUCCUACGGGAGGCAGCAGUGGGGAAUUUUGGACAAUGGGCGCAAGCCUGAUCCAGCCAUGCCGCGUGCGGGAAGAAGGCCU